This 662-nucleotide ribosomal RNA is filed under the name uncultured bacterium. RNAcentral's name for it is "bacterial SSU rRNA". It matches the Rfam family "Bacterial small subunit ribosomal RNA", at positions 232 to 885 of the family's 1533-position model. The record is from RNAcentral.
CGCGGCCUAUCAGCUUGUUGGUGAGGUAACGGCUCACCAAGGCGACGACGGGUAGCUGGUCUGAGAGGACGAUCAGCCACACUGGAACUGAGACACGGUCCAGACACCUACGGGUGACAGCAGUCGAGAAUCAUUCACAAUGGACGAAAGUCUGAUGGUGCAACGCCGCGUGGAGGAUGAAGGCCCUAGGGUCGUAAACUCCUGUCAUCAGGGAGUAAGCCUUGGUCGUUAAUAGCUUCCAAGGUUGAUAGUACCUGAAGAGGAAGGGACGGCUAACUUCGUGCCAGCAGCCGCGGUAAUACGAAGGUCCCAAGCGUUGUUCGGAAUCACUGGGCGUAAAGAGUAUGUAGGCGGCAAGGUAAGUCAGAUGUGAAAGCCCGGGGCUCAACCUCGGAACUGCAUCCGAUACUGCUUUGCUAGAGUAAUGGAGGGGUGACUGGAAUUCUCGGUGUAGCAGUGAAAUGCGUAGAUAUCGAGAGGAACACUCGUGGCGAAAGCGAGUCACUGGACAUUUACUGACGCUGAGAUACGAAGGCCAGGGUAGCGAAAGGGAUUAGAUACCCCUGUAGUCCUGGCAGUAAACGGUGCGCGCUUGGUGUGGGAGGAUUCGACCCCUUCCGUGCCGGAGCUAACGCGUUAAGCGCCCCGCCUGGGGAGUACGG